CGGUGGAGCAUGUGGUUAAUUCGAUGAUACGCGAGGAACCUUACCUGGGCUCAAAUGUAUGUUGACGUAUUCUGAAAGGGAUACUUCUUCGGACAAUAUACAAGGUGCUGCAUGGUUGUCGUCAGCUCGUGCCGUGAGGUGUCGGGUUAAGUCCCAUAACGAGCGCAACCCUAUCAUUAGUUGCCAUCAGGUCAAGCUGGGGACUCUAAUGAAACUGCCUACGCAAGUAGUGAGGAAGGUGGGGAUGACGUCAAGUCAUCAUGGCCCUUACGGCCUGGGCUACACACGUGCUACAAUGGUCGGUACAAAGGGUUGCCAAGCCGCGAGGUGGAGCUAAUCCCAUAAAACCGAUCGUAGUCCGGAUCGCAGUCUGCAACUCGACUGCGUGAAGUCGGAAUCGCUAGUAAUCGUGAAUCAGAAUGUCACGGUGAAUACGUUCCCGGGCCUU
This 448-nucleotide ribosomal RNA is filed under the name uncultured Pseudomonas sp. Its description in RNAcentral is "bacterial SSU rRNA". It matches the Rfam family "Bacterial small subunit ribosomal RNA", at positions 930 to 1382 of the family's 1533-position model. The record is from RNAcentral. Lineage: Bacteria; Pseudomonadati; Pseudomonadota; Gammaproteobacteria; Pseudomonadales; Pseudomonadaceae.